GAUGAACGCUGGCGGCGUGCCUAAUACAUGCAAGUCGAGCGAACGGACGAGAAGCUUGCUUUUCUGAUGUUAGCGGCGGACGGGUGAGUAACACGUGGAUAACCUACCUAUAAGACUGGGAUAACUUCGGGAAACCGGAGCUAAUACCGGAUAAUAUUUUGAACCGCAUGGUUCAAAAGUGAAAGACGGUCUUGCUGUCACUUAUAGAUGGAUCCGCGCUGCAUUAGCUAGUUGGUAAGGUAACGGCUUACCAAGGCAACGAUGCAUAGCCGACCUGAGAGGGUGAUCGGCCACACUGGAACUGAGACACGGUCCAGACUCCUACGGGAGGCAGCAGUAGGGAAUCUUCCGCAAAGGGCGAAAGCCUGACGGAGCAACGCCGCGUGAGUGAUGAAGGUCUUCGGAUCGUAAAACUCUGUUAUUAGGGAAGAACAUAUGUGUAAGUAACUGUGCACAUCUUGACGGUACCUAAUCAGAAAGCCACGGCUAACCACGUG
Molecule: ribosomal RNA, 497 nt
Filed under: uncultured bacterium
Lineage: Bacteria
Description: partial 16S ribosomal RNA
Rfam family: Bacterial small subunit ribosomal RNA
Source: RNAcentral